GGGACACGUGGUAUCCUGUCUGAAUAUGGGGGGACCAUCCUCCAAGGCUAAAUACUCCUGACUGACCGAUAGUGAACCAGUACCGUGAGGGAAAGGCGAAAAGAACCCCGGCGAGGGGAGUGAAAAAGAACCUGAAACCGUGUACGUACAAGCAGUGGGAGCCUCUUUAUGGGGUGACUGCGUACCUUUUGUAUAAUGGGUCAGCGACUUAUAUUCUGUAGCAAGGUUAACCGAAUAGGGGAGCCGAAGGGAAACCGAGUCUUAACUGGGCGUUAAGUUGCAGGGUAUAGACCCGAAACCCGGUGAUCUAGCCAUGGGCAGGUUGAAGGUUGGGUAACACUAACUGGAGGACCGAACCGACUAAUGUUGAAAAAUUAGCGGAUGACUUGUGGCUGGGGGUGAAAGGCCAAUCAAACCGGGAGAUAGCUGGUUCUCCCCGAAAGCUAUUUAGGUAGCGCCUCGUGAAUUCAUCUCCGGGGGUAGAGCACUGUUUCGGCAAGGGGGUCAUCCCGACUUACCAACCCGAUGCAAACUGCGAAUACCGGAGAAUGUUAUCACGGGAGACACACGGCGGGUGCUAACGUCCGUCGUGAAGAGGGAAACAACCCAGACCGCCAGCUAAGGUCCCAAAGUCAUGGUUAAGUGGGAAACGAUGUGGGAAGGCCCAGACAGCCAGGAUGUUGGCUUAGAAGCAGCCAUCAUUUAAAGAAAGCGUAAUAGCUCACUGGUCGAGUCGGCCUGCGCGGAAGAUGUAACGGGGCUAAACCAUGCACCGAAGCUGCGGCAGCGACGCUUAUGCGUUGUUGGGUAGGGGAGCGUUCUGUAAGCCUGUGAAGGUGUGCUGUGAGGCAUGCUGGAGGUAUCAGAAGUGCGAAUGCUGACAUAAGUAACGAUAAAGCGGGUGAAAAGCCCGCUCGCCGGAAGACCAAGGGU
This 933-nucleotide ribosomal RNA is filed under the name Escherichia coli. RNAcentral describes it as "partial 23S ribosomal RNA". It matches the Rfam family "Bacterial large subunit ribosomal RNA", at positions 419 to 1352 of the family's 2925-position model. Lineage: Bacteria; Pseudomonadati; Pseudomonadota; Gammaproteobacteria; Enterobacterales; Enterobacteriaceae. The record is from RNAcentral.